Non-coding RNA from Desmophyllum pertusum, 74 nucleotides. NCBI's taxonomy places the organism in Eukaryota, Metazoa, Cnidaria, Anthozoa, Scleractinia, Caryophylliidae. The record is from the annotation of a GenBank genome assembly.
GUCUCCCAUAGCUCAGUGGUCAGAGCAUCCAACCGGUACCAGGCAGGUCAUGGGUUCCACUCCCGUUGUGGACU